GGGUGGAGCAGUGGUAGCUCGUCGGGCUCAUAACCCGAAGGUCGCAGGUUCAAAUCCUGCUCCC
RNAcentral lists this transfer RNA (64 nucleotides) under Candidatus Kurthia intestinigallinarum. It matches the Rfam family "tRNA", at positions 5 to 66 of the family's 71-position model. Rfam says of the family: Transfer RNA (tRNA) molecules are approximately 80 nucleotides in length. The record is from RNAcentral. Lineage: Bacteria; Bacillati; Bacillota; Bacilli; Caryophanales; Caryophanaceae.